RNAcentral lists this ribosomal RNA (100 nucleotides) under uncultured Monoglobus sp. The record is from RNAcentral. Lineage: Bacteria; Bacillati; Bacillota; Clostridia; Monoglobales; Monoglobaceae.
GAGAAGGAAACACCUGUUCCCAUCCCGAACACAGAAGUUAAGCUUCUUAACGCCGAAGAUACUUGGAGGGCGACUUCCCGGAAAAAUAGGUCGUUGCCGG